Non-coding RNA from Podarcis lilfordi (Lilford's wall lizard), 76 nucleotides. The record is from the annotation of a GenBank genome assembly. NCBI's taxonomy places the organism in Eukaryota, Metazoa, Chordata, Lepidosauria, Squamata, Lacertidae.
ACCUGGGAAAUAUCUCUGUCCAUAGAGCAUGAGAUUCUUAAUCUCAGGGUUGUGGGUUCGAGUCCCACGUUGGGCA